Long non-coding RNA from Acanthopagrus latus (yellowfin seabream), 386 nucleotides. RefSeq lists it as uncharacterized. The transcript has 2 exons. Lineage: Eukaryota; Metazoa; Chordata; Actinopteri; Spariformes; Sparidae. The record is from RefSeq and is a predicted model, not a curated record.
GGUCUAUGGAGCCGGUGCGCCUCCAAGUCGCAUGGGUAACUUCCGGGAAAAUUACGGUCUGAUGCUGCUUCCUGGGUCAUGUGAUACUGGAGCUUCAAUCAAAUCAUCCGCCCACCUCACUAUCAUUUAAUAUUGCAGACUCAACCCACGGUUGUACAAACCUGAGGUGCUGUCUGUGCAAUUUCUGAGUGAAGCCAUGGCAUUCAUGUACUCUGCUCCCAAGAACUGAUCGUAGGAUGUUUCAGCUCUGAUCUCCUGCAGACACUUGGUGGAGUCCUUGAAGAGGAGGUUCCUUCCUAAGUCUGACUGGAACAGGUUGAACGAGGGAUCGCUGCCGCCGAUACCAAACUUGGACUGAAAAAUAAAAACAAGAUUAAGGUUUAGAA